ACAGAGGUGGCGAGCGUUAUUCGGAAUUAUUGGGCGUAAAGGGCGCGUAGGCGGCUUGACAAGUCCCGGGUGAAAUCCCACGGCUCAACCGUGGAACUGCUGGGUAUACUGGGUGUCUUGGGCCAUUCAGGGGCGACUGGAACAAGCGGUGGAGCGGUGAAAUGCGUAGAUAUCGCUUGGAACGCCGAAGGUGAAAACAGGUCGCUGGGGAUGUGCCGACGCUGAGACACGAAAGCCAGGGGAGCAAACGGGA
Molecule: ribosomal RNA, 253 nt
Filed under: uncultured prokaryote
Description: partial 16S ribosomal RNA
Rfam family: Bacterial small subunit ribosomal RNA
Source: RNAcentral